Sceloporus undulatus (fence lizard) is the source of this 437-nucleotide long non-coding RNA. RefSeq lists it as uncharacterized. The transcript is spliced from 3 exons. NCBI's taxonomy places the organism in Eukaryota, Metazoa, Chordata, Lepidosauria, Squamata, Phrynosomatidae. The record is from RefSeq and is a predicted model, not a curated record.
CUGCUGGAGGAGAGGCUUUGUUCACCAGUGUGCAGAGAAAGAGAAAGCAAAGAAAGACGAGAAGUUUUCAGCUGUUCAUUCGGUACUGUGCUGGUUGGUGCUGGACAGAGGAGGCUGAGGAUGAGGAGAGCAGUGGGCAGAAGAAGAAGAUAAAACUGCAAGAAGUUUCCAUUUUGGGAAAGGUGUGGCCCAGUAGCAAAAUCUCUACUGCAGGCGUGGACUGUUUUUAGCGCUGUUGUCUUUCCAAGAAGCAUGAUUUCCAUGUAUGCCAUGAUAUAUCAGGCAGGUGUGGAGUAAAUUUAGACCCCUGCGUAAACCUCUGCUACCCAGGAUCUGUGCUGCAUUCCAGUUCUGCAUGAUAGCUAUAACCUUCCCGUGACACCAGCCAAACUGGACACAUCAGCACUGGAACAGCGAGACGUAGGCCAGAGCUUUUC